CUUCUCCUAGCUCAAGUAUGCUUUUAAGUCGUUGGAUAUAGUGGCCGAGUUAGGAUUUUCACUAAGGGUUUAAAAUAUGAAAGUAAACAUAUGAAGAGGACAAAGGGGAUUCAAUAUCAUUAGUGAAAAGUUCUUUUCACACUUCUUAUGCUUUUAAGGUGGUGGAUACAGUGGCCGAGCUAAGAUUUCUAAUAAGGGGUUUAAAAUAUCAAAAGUAGAUAUACGAAGAAGUCGAAGGGGGUCGAACAUCACCAGUGAAAUGUUCUUUUGUUUUGUACUUCUCCUAUGC
Molecule: long non-coding RNA, 289 nt
Filed under: Capsicum annuum
Lineage: Eukaryota; Viridiplantae; Streptophyta; Magnoliopsida; Solanales; Solanaceae
Description: long non-coding RNA (CANN_LNC003210)
Source: RNAcentral